This 1372-nucleotide ribosomal RNA is filed under the name uncultured bacterium. Its description in RNAcentral is "bacterial SSU rRNA". It matches the Rfam family "Bacterial small subunit ribosomal RNA", at positions 28 to 1381 of the family's 1533-position model. The record is from RNAcentral.
GAUGAACGCUGGCGGCGUGCCUAAUACAUGCAAGUCGAGCGAACGGACGAGAAGCUUGCUUCUCUGAUGUUAGCGGCGGACGGGUGAGUAACACGUGGAUAACCUACCUAUAAGACUGGGAUAACUUCGGGAAACCGGAGCUAAUACCGGAUAAUAUUUUGAACCGCAUGGUUCAAAAGUGAAAGACGGUCUUGCUGUCACUUAUAGAUGGAUCCGCGCUGCAUUAGCUAGUUGGUAAGGUAACGGCUUACCAAGGCAACGAUGCAUAGCCGACCUGAGAGGGUGAUCGGCCACACUGGAACUGAGACACGGUCCAGACUCCUACGGGAGGCAGCAGUAGGGAAUCUUCCGCAAUGGGCGAAAGCCUGACGGAGCAACGCCGCGUGAGUGAUGAAGGUCUUCGGAUCGUAAAACUCUGUUAUCAGGGAAGAACAUAUGUGUAAGUAACUGUGCACAUCUUGACGGUACCUAAUCAGAAAGCCACGGCUAACUACGUGCCAGCAGCCGCGGUAAUACGUAGGUGGCAAGCGUUAUCCGGAAUUAUUGGGCGUAAAGCGCGCGUAGGCGGUUUUUUAAGUCUGAUGUGAAAGCCCACGGCUCAACCGUGGAGGGUCAUUGGAAACUGGAAAACUUGAGUGCAGAAGAGGAAAGUGGAAUUCCAUGUGUAGCGGUGAAAUGCGCAGAGAUAUGGAGGAACACCAGUGGCGAAGGCGACUUUCUGGUCUGUAACUGACGCUGAUGUGCGAAAGCGUGGGGAUCAAACAGGAUUAGAUACCCUGGUAGUCCACGCCGUAAACGAUGAGUGCUAAGUGUUAGGGGGUUUCCGCCCCUUAGUGCUGCAGCUAACGCAUUAAGCACUCCGCCUGGGGAGUACGACCGCAAGGUUGAAACUCAAAGGAAUUGACGGGGACCCGCACAAGCGGUGGAGCAUGUGGUUUAAUUCGAAGCAACGCGAAGAACCUUACCAAAUCUUGAUAUCCUUUGACAACUCUAGAGAUAGAGCUUUCCCCUUCGGGGGACAGAGUGACAGGUGGUGCAUGGUUGUCGUCAGCUCGUGUCGUGAGAUGUUGGGUUAAGUCCCGCAACGAGCGCAACCCUUAAGCUUAGUUGCCAUCAUUAAGUUGGGCACUCUAAGUUGACUGCCGGUGACAAACCGGAGGAAGGUGGGGAUGACGUCAAAUCAUCAUGCCCCUUAUGAUUUGGGCUACACACGUGCUACAAUGGACAAUACAAAGGGCAGCGAAACCGCGAGGUCAAGCAAAUCCCAUAAAGUUGUUCUCAGUUCGGAUUGUAGUCUGCAACUCGACUACAUGAAGCUGGAAUCGCUAGUAAUCGUAGAUCAGCAUGCUACGGUGAAUACGUUCCCGGGUCU